CAGCCAACGGAGUGCGGAGAACCCUGAGCCGCACGGUCGCCACGCAUGACCUCCUGGUCAUGACGGUGCAGGAGGAGCUAGAGGUGAGACCGACCCGGGGCCG
RNAcentral lists this non-coding RNA (103 nucleotides) under unclassified sequences. RNAcentral's name for it is "c-di-GMP sequence". It matches the Rfam family "c-di-GMP-II-GAG riboswitch aptamer". The record is from Rfam by way of RNAcentral.